Molecule: ribosomal RNA, 253 nt
Filed under: uncultured bacterium
Lineage: Bacteria
Description: partial 16S ribosomal RNA
Rfam family: Bacterial small subunit ribosomal RNA
Source: RNAcentral
GACAGAGGGUGCAAACGUUGCUCGGAAUCACUGGGCGGAAAGGGCGUGUAGGCGGAUAGAUAAGUCGGGCGUGAAAUCCCCAGGCUCAACCUGGGAACUGCACUCGAAACUGUUUAUCUUGAGUGCCGGAGAGGAAAGCGGAAUUCCUGGUGUAGAGGUGAAAUUCGUAGAUAUCAGGAGGAACACCAGUGGCGAAGGCGGCUUUCUGGACGGUAACUGACGCUGAGACGCGAAAGCGUGGGGAGCAAACAGG